UAUGUGAAAGCCCAAAAAUCGAAUUAUAAAUUUUAAUUUAAGAGCUGUUUUCUCAUGACUUUAAUUCCAAUGUCAUUUCCAUGACACUGUUCCAUGAGAAUAAGAUGGGUUUUUUUUCCGGUUCGCUCACAGCAGGCCGGGGAAGGCUGUCACAGGACUCAUGUAUUUUUAAUUUCGCCAAGAGAUUUAAAAAAACUAUGAUGUUAUUCAUGCCAUGAGUAGAAUCGAGCUAGAUACCAGACGUUCUUUGAAGUAACUCACUCGUGUAUUCCACAUGCACAAGAAAGGGAGUUUUGGCGGCAGAUAAAAAGAUUCCACUUGUUUCCGCUUAAGAGAGCAAAUCAUUUGCAGAAGUCAACUGUAAUUUAAAGGAUGUGCAUCUUGAACGGCCAAGCCUGAGAAAAUAAGUCUGUGGCCUUAAAAAACUUAGGAAAUGCUAAAGUUUUAAAGUUUCCAAGCAAAACAGUCACCGAUUACGUUAUGUACGAGAACCCAUUCAUCCAGCUGACAGCGUUCACCCUCAGCAUGUGGGUACAAGUCAAUACAAGUACUAUCUUUCACGCAGCCUUCUCCUACUCCACUACUCGUCAGAGUAACGGACUGUCGAUGGAAGUCAGAAGUACUGAAAUAAGAAUAUUACUUGAUAAUGA
Molecule: long non-coding RNA, 650 nt
Organism: Actinia tenebrosa (Australian red waratah sea anemone)
Lineage: Eukaryota; Metazoa; Cnidaria; Anthozoa; Actiniaria; Actiniidae
Source: RefSeq, a predicted model, not a curated record